Small nuclear RNA from Dermacentor andersoni, 104 nucleotides. Lineage: Eukaryota; Metazoa; Arthropoda; Arachnida; Ixodida; Ixodidae. The record is from RefSeq and is a predicted model, not a curated record.
GCGCUUCCAAAGUACAUAUACUAAAAAUUGGAACGAUACAGAGAAGAUUUGCAUCGCCCCUGCGCCAAGACGACAAGCGAAAUCGUGAAGCGUUCCACAUUUUU